Molecule: long non-coding RNA, 861 nt
Filed under: Helianthus annuus (common sunflower)
Lineage: Eukaryota; Viridiplantae; Streptophyta; Magnoliopsida; Asterales; Asteraceae
Description: sRNA HanXRQr2_Chr11g0467131
Source: RNAcentral
GUGCUAAGAAGUUCCGGCGGAAACCUUACCCCCUACGUGCACCUUUGCCAGUCGUCUGCAACUGUCGAUGUCACCACCAUCGUCAAUCCAAACCAGUCAGAGCCACGCUACGGGUACCAGUUGCCUCACUCCGCCGUGACCGCCUCGCCGCACAACCACCGGGAUCCCCGCCACACCUAGUUCGAAGCUUGUGAUUAGCGUCUCCGACUCACGAACUACGACCAUCUCUAUUCAUUGUCUGCUAUAAUCACACGCCGUCGCACCCCCGCCGUCUGCCGCCAUUGGUUUAGUCGCCUGAGAUCUCCGAUUCACGAACAGCCACCACACCCCUCACGUUCGAUCGAUCGCGACCGUUAUAGUAGCUUCUUUCUCGUCUCUCUGUGACGCAGCCACCAUCGUCGCCACUUGAAACCGAUCCGACUCACCGAAGUCCUGCACAAUCUUUGAUUCAGUUCCGUCGAUACCGAUCCUAGUCUGAUACGCGUCAAAGAAGAAAUAUGGGAUGCUGGAAGAGGAUAUCGCUAACAUCUUGGGUGAUAUCCUGAGAUUCAUUAAUUAACCACGUGCAGAUUAAAGGCUGAGACUUACUAACGGUCAAGAGGACUUCUUCUCCUCAGGACUCGGACGAGUUUGUUGAAGAAGAGACGUUGAGCCCGAAAGACCAGGUCUACAACGUUCGAUGAAGGAAUAUUCGGUGGAUCCCGCAAGUUUAGGAUAGUUAGUUAAUUUAUCUAUACUAUAAAUAGAUGUGGCGGAUCAGUUUAAGGCACACAAUUUUUUCACUAACACUCUCGUACACUCUUGCUCUCUAGAUUACUGCAGUCACCACACUUGUAUCCAACUCACGUUGUAACACUUAGU